GAGAGUUUGAUCCUGGCUCAGAAUGAACGCUGGCGGCGUGCUUAACACAUGCAAGUCGAACGAGAAAGGGAUUGCUUGCAAUCCUGAGUAGAGUGGCGCACGGGUGAGUAACACGUAGAUAAUCUACCUUCAAGCCCGGGAUAACCCUUCGAAAGGAUGGCUAAUACCGGAUGCAGUUUCAGUACACAAGUGCUGAGAUGAAAGAUUGCCUCUUCUUGAAAGCAAUUGUUUGGAGAUGAGUUUGCGUACCAUUAGCUUGUUGGUGGGGUAAAAGCCUACCAAGGCUGCGAUGGUUAGCUGGUCUGAGAGGAUGAUCAGUCACACUGGAACUGGAACACGGUCCAGACUCCUACGGGAGGCAGCAGUGAGGAAUUUUGCGCAAUGGGGGAAACCCUGACGCAGCAACGCCGCGUGAGUGAAGAAGGCCCUUGGGUCGUAAAGCUCUGUCAACUGGGAAGAAGUUGUUAUUGUUUAAUAAAUGAUAGCAUUGACGGUACCAGUGGAG
This 505-nucleotide ribosomal RNA is filed under the name uncultured delta proteobacterium. Its description in RNAcentral is "bacterial SSU rRNA". It matches the Rfam family "Bacterial small subunit ribosomal RNA", at positions 7 to 486 of the family's 1533-position model. The record is from RNAcentral. Lineage: Bacteria; Deltaproteobacteria.